UGGGUAAGGUCAAACUUUUUAGUGUCUCAAAUAUGUCCAUAAUAUUUUAUAUUGACAUUUUACAAAAUGACAUAAGAAAAUAUCUCUAUGGUUGAAAACACCUCAACUAGUGUCUCAAUACAUAUGACAAUUUCUAAAGUGCUACAAAAAGUAUCUUUAUAAUACAUUAAUUAAGACAUAUUUAUAAGGGCAAAUAAUAAAACGUCUAUCUCUAUUUGCGAUUUAUGUUGUAGUGAGUAGAGCCUCCACUGAUCAAAUCUCCCCCCCUAUCUCGCACGCACACUGCACAACCCAUCAACCUCGAGCUCUCUCGUCCCUCUCCGCACUGGCAGCAACAUACGCCACCAUGUCCCUCUACUUUCUCCUGUCACCUCCUCACCUCACCAC
This 387-nucleotide long non-coding RNA is filed under the name Setaria viridis. RNAcentral's name for it is "long non-coding RNA (SVIR_LNC008749)". The record is from RNAcentral. Lineage: Eukaryota; Viridiplantae; Streptophyta; Magnoliopsida; Poales; Poaceae.